GCGGUGGUGGUGGAAUUGGCAGACACGCUAUCUUGAGGGGGUAGUGCCGAAAGGCGUGCGAGUUCGAGUCUCGCCCACCGCACCA
This 85-nucleotide transfer RNA is filed under the name Hydrogenibacillus schlegelii. RNAcentral describes it as "tRNA-Leu". It matches the Rfam family "tRNA". From Rfam's summary of the family: Transfer RNA (tRNA) molecules are approximately 80 nucleotides in length. Their secondary structure includes four short double-helical elements and three loops (D, anti-codon, and T loops). Further hydrogen bonds mediate the characteristic L-shaped molecular structure. tRNAs have two regions of fundamental functional importance: the anti-codon, which is responsible for specific mRNA codon recognition, and the 3' end, to which the tRNAs corresponding amino acid is attached (by aminoacyl-tRNA synthetases). tRNAs cope with the degeneracy of the genetic code in two manners: having more than one tRNA (with a specific anti-codon) for a particular amino acid; and 'wobble' base-pairing, i.e. permitting non-standard base-pairing at the 3rd anti-codon position. The record is from RNAcentral. RNAcentral also lists the same sequence under 1 other name. Lineage: Bacteria; Bacillati; Bacillota; Bacilli; Thermicanales; Thermicanaceae.